AGGAUCAUUAACGAGUCUUGAAACCGAAACGGUCUGCAGCUGGUGCGGGAACGCGCAUGUGCUCGGCCUUUCGUGUUCAAAUCCACUCAACCCCUGUGCACCUUUGCGAAGCAAACAGUAGUAGUCGUCGUCUUUUCUUUUCUUUCUGGUCGUGUGUUUUGAACCGCGGUCAAAAGUGAAAGGGGGGGAGAGGGCGGCGGUGAAUGAAUGCUUCGAGUUUUUCAUUACAAACUACUUGUAUGUCCUGUGGAAUGUAAUAUGCUCCCUCGUGGGCAAAAUUGUAAUACAACUUUCAACAACGGAUCUCUUGGCUCUCGCAUCGAUGAAGAACGCAGCGAAAUGCGAUAAGUAAUGUGAAUUGCAGAAUUCAGUGAAUCAUCGAAUCUUUGAACGCACCUUGCGCCCCUUGGUAUUCCGAGGGGCAUGCCUGUUUGAGUGUCAUGUUAAUCUCAAACCCUCAGUCUUUUGUUGACUCGAAGGACUGGGUCGGUUUGGACUUGGAGGUUUAACUGCUGGCUUUAGCAAUUAGAGUCGGCUCCUCUUAAAUUCAUUAGCUGGACUUUGGUUCGCAUUUGCGGUGUAAUAGUAACCAACUUGUUCGCCCGGGUGCUUGCCUAAAGAGUCUGCUUCUAAUCGCGCCUCCCAGUUGGGGCAAGUACUAUAUGACCCUUUGACCUCAAAUCAGGUAGGACUAUCCGCUGAACUUAA
Molecule: ribosomal RNA, 708 nt
Filed under: Inocutis tamaricis
Lineage: Eukaryota; Fungi; Basidiomycota; Agaricomycetes; Hymenochaetales; Hymenochaetaceae
Description: eukaryotic LSU rRNA
Rfam family: 5.8S ribosomal RNA (bases 288-441)
Source: RNAcentral